AGCAGGAGGAGCAGGAGCAGGAGGAGCAGCAGCAGGGCUCCAGCACAGCACCUGAGAGUUCACACUCUAAUAUUUCUCCUCCCUGUUCUACUGUUCUUCUCUUCCCCCAUUCCUCCCUUCUUCUCCCUCCCUCCCCUUUCUUCUUUACUACAAAUCUACGCAACUCCCCCGCUGUUUUAAAAACACCUAAAGGGAAACAAAACGAAUCAAAACAAAAACAAAGCCAGCCCUUCUCAUAGAGUUAAGUUUUAGAGGCAGGGACCCGCCCGCCUCCCCAGUUUAACCUUUGAAACCUAUUUCAAAACCAGGCUGGCUUCUGGCCAGGGCUCCCAGAACUUUCAGGGAGCAGGUCACCUACGGCCUAGUUUCCUAAUCUGGUCCAAUCUUGCACAACCUGACCUCAGGGUGGGUGGAGCAGGCACCCCUGCCCUUCCCACAGGCGCCUGUGCUCUUUUUCCCCGGGGAUCUUUCUUGUUUCCAACUCCUCUAGCUGAACUCAAUCUGCUCUCUUGGUGCACUGCCUUCCAUUCCUGUCUGUUUAAUCAGAAUUAAUUCUCUGAGGGAGUGACUCCAAGCCUCUUGUCCUUGGACAUUCUACAGGCCUCAUGUUCAAGGUGUCCAGAAUGUACCUUGUUACUCUCCCUACCACCAGCCUUCCUGCUGUAAAUGACCAAAAUAAACCUCUGAGCUUGCCCUAUGUCUGGUUUGUCAGUCUGGGACAAGCCCUCCUUCCAUCCUUUGUUUCCAAAUCCUCUUCCCACUUUGCUCUUUUCUCUCCCAGUCACACACACUUAAAGCUUAGGCUAAUCCUUACCCCAAAUAUCUUUUCUCUGUCUGAGUGUAACCUCACCUUCCUGUCCUUUGUCCCCACUAUUUCCAUACUUGUCCCUGUUUGUUAAUCCUGUUCCCACAUCUUGCACACCACUGACUUGGUUGACUUUGGAAAGUUAGGAUGGAAACCAUAGUGGAAUUGGUCAACGCAAGUGUGGGUGUCGGGCUUAUUUUGAUGGUGGAAUAGUGCAGCAAUACUAUGUUGUCCUAUGGUUUGUUGACUCCUUCCCCAGUGAUGGACAUGUGCUUUGUUUCCAGUUUGCGGCUAUUGUGGGUGAAUAUUUGUGUAUGUGUCUCCAUGUGGACACAUUUUCCUUCCUCUUGAGUAGAUGCCAAGGAUUAGGACUAAUGGGUCACAAGGUAAGUACAUGUCUAAUGCUUUGACACAUUGCCAAGUUGUUUUCUAGGGUAAUUUUACAUCCCCACCAGCAAUGGACGAGGAUGCCAGGUAUUCCACACCCUUGUCAACACUUGUUAUUGUCGGAUGUUUUCAUGUUAAUCAUUCUACCGGUGCAAUAGUGUUUGUAAUUUAAAUUUGCAUUUCCUUGAGUGGCACGAGAUAUCUUUCAGAAACCAUGGGCGGUUUGUGUAAUUCUUUUGACAGCUUUCUUGAACCUAUUCAUUUAGGGAGCCGUGCUUGUGCACUGUGUGUAGGUUAAAGGGUACUUGAGAGACUUGCAUGCACCACUGUGUGUAGGUCAGAGGAUACUUGGCAGGGUAUGUUCUCUCUUUCCAUCCUGUGGAUUCAGAGGCUGAAAUUCAGGUCACUGGGUCAGCAGCAAGUGCCUUUAUCUGCUGAGUCAUCUCAUUAACCCUGUUUGACUCUUCCAUGAAGUGUCUGUCCAACUGUUUCCUUAUUUUUAAUUAAGUUGCAUUUGGGCUAGAGAGAUGGAGGGCUCAAUAGUUAAGAAUACUUGUUCUUACAGAAGAUCUGAGUUCGGUUCUCAGCACCCACAUCAGACAGCUCACAAUUUUCUCUAACUCCAGCCCCAGUGGACCUGAUGAUGCCCUCUUCUGGCCUCUGUGAACACCUAAACACAAGUGGCAUAUACUCAAACAAACACAUAGUUAUACAAAAAUAAAAAUGAGUAAGUCCAUUAUGCUGCAUGUCUGAAAUGAUCUCUAAAUUUUGAUGAUAUUCCACAACCCCUGUGUCUUUCUUUUUCUUCCUAUUUUUGGUUUUUAGAAACAGGGUUUUCCUGUGUAGCCUUAGAUGUCCUAGAAUUCACUCUGUAGACUAAGAUGGCCUCAAACUCACAGAGAUCUGCCUGCCUCUGUCUCCCGAGUGCUGAAAUUAAAGGUGUCUGCCACCACCUCUACUACCUGUGUUUUUAGUUUUCUUUACUUAUACAGUCUUCAUUUUGUUCUGGUGUCAGAGUAAAAUGAGCUGAAAUUGCCUUCUCUCUCCUCUGUGAACCUAUACAGAACUGACACCAGUCUGCCUCUAAAUGUUUGACAGGAUCCACAAAUGGAGCCAGCUUGGGGGGAUUUCAUGGAUAGCCUUUAAAUUAAUUACAAAUUUAGUUUAAAAAUGCUCUUUAUUUAAGCUGCCAGAUUUUGUUCACUUUAUUUUGUAUGCAUAUGUACAUACUUAAGAACACAUGCAGAGGUCAGAAGAAAAUUUAUGGGAGUCAAUUCUCCCCUUCUACCAUAUGGGUUCCAAGGACUGAAUUUACUUUAUCAGGCUUGAUGACACACACCUUUAGCUGUUGAGUCACCCCAAUGGCUCCUGAACUUUUAAAAUAUAUAAUCAUGUCAGCAAAAAAAAAAAAAAAGGUAUUAUAGUAUAAGACAGACAUUACUAGUCCUUUUGUGAACUUUACAUGUAUUUUUAAAGUCCUUAAUGUUUUAGUUAAUUUGGUUACUGCACUAUAUCAAGCAGGUUUGCUAGAAUCCUGCAGUAACUUGUAAGAGGAUUUAAUACUGUCCCACAUCUUCAAGAGGUAACAUUAGGAUCCCAGCAAUUAGGAGCUGAGGCACACAGUCUGAAAAGGAACCUGUAGCCUGGAACAUAUAAACAGUGAAUUUUUAAAAUUUUGUGAUGAAAGGAGGAAAAGAAAGGAAGAAAGAAAGAAAGGAAGGAAGGAAGGGAGAGGGGGGGAGGGAGGGAGGGAGAGACAGAGAGAGGAAGAAAGGAAGGAAGGAAGGAAGGAAGAAAAGAAAGAAAGAAAGAAAGAAAGAAAGAAAGAAAGAAAGAAAGAAAGAAAGAAAGAAAGAAAGAAAGAAAGAAAGAAAGAAAGAAAGAAAGAAAGAAAAAAAGCUCUUUUAAAGAGGCAAUUCUCAAGAAUUGGACAAAAGUUUAGUGACCUCAAGGUGAGAGGAGUCAACAGAUGCUAGCACUGGGAGCCUGAAGGAUGCUCAAACUGUCUGGCACUAGUUCUUAAAAGCUGGUAAAGGAAGAGAUGUGUGUCUACAGUGAGCCUGAUGACGGCAAAUCUGAGAUAAAGGGAUCGUCUGACAGACCAGGAAGCUUGGCCACAGGGCCUGACACUAAAGGGAGAGUGGGUGCCACAGACAGUAGAGUGAUGCCCUCAUGGAAUGGAAGAGUUCAGAUGAGGCAGGCUUGGCUUUUGCAAAAGAGCCAGAUCUUAAACACCCUCAGAUUGUAAUUGUUGACUUCAUACACUCAUACAGAAUAUACACCUUAGUCAUUGCAAUGUGCGUACACACACACAUACAUACACACAGUCACAUAUACACAAGACAACAUGUAGAUAUACACAGAAACACACACAGAUUUCACCUAUUACUAAGUUAUAGCAUGCCUCGUUAGGGCCACCUGAGUAUCUUAUUUAAGGGAUUGUUCAGAUCAUAUUGGCCUGGGGACACAUUUGUGGGGUAUUUUUUUACUGUUAAUUGGUAUAGGAGGGCACAGCCCGCUGUGGGCAGAGCCAUUCACUGGGCAUGUGGUCCUGAACUGCAUAGAGAAGGAGUUAAGCAUGAGCCUGUGAAUCAGUCAGCAAGCAGCGUCCCCCACCGUUCCUGCUGUUCUUCAUGUGAGAAGAGUGAGUUCCCUGGUCAGAGGCAAUGCUGCACGGAAUAGCAAGCAGGCUCCCUUCAGGUUCCUGCCCUGAUUUCCCUCAAUGGCAGACUGUGAUCUAGAAGUGCAGUGUUUUAUCAUAGAAACAGAAUGAAACUGGAGCACAUUACUAAUGUAACUUACUUCUCUCCCUCCCCCACUCCUUCCUUCUCUUCUGACUUUGUUUGCUGUCUCGUUUAAGCUGGCUUUGAAAUUUCAGUCGUCUUGCCUCAGCCUCCCAAGUAACAGCAUUAUAGGCCUGACACUGCACUUAUCUUUUUUAUAUUUCAUGUAUGAACUAAAGUUUGCAUUUACAAAAAACACAGAAGUGUGUCCUGGCCUGCAUUGCUUCAGUGUCAAAUACUUUUAAACCAAAGAGAUUAUAAGUGGCCACACACGAGGAUGCAGUCAGACAAGCAUUUUCAUUCGUCUUUUGAACCAUCAUCUGCCAUGGCUUAUUAGUCUGAUUAAAUGCAGGAAUAUGCUAGAAAUGAGGGCUAGAGUAUUCCCCACUCUUUUUAAUUAUUAUACACGAAUAAUAAUUCGUAGUAAUUAACUCAUAAUAAUGGGUUUCACUGUGACAUGUCGUUCAUGUGUAUGAUGUAUUUUGAUCAUGUGCACCUCAUCACCCUCUGUUGUCCCCCUCUCAUCCCUGAUGAUCCCCUCCUACUCCUCUCUUGCCUGCACUCUACUUCCUUGUCUUUUCUUUCUCUUCUUUGAGCCACUGAGUUUUAUUAUGGUUGCUUACAGGAGCACAGACAUCCUACGAGUGGAUAAGCCACUGAAGAAGCAUCUCUCAGUUUCUCAGCAACCAUCAACAGCAAAAGCUCCACGUGGAGAGCCUGGUAUCGGGAGCCUGUCCCAAGGACUGGAGUCUUGAGCUGCAUGCUGAGGGUUGGAGAGGAAGCCCUGGCCCUGAGAUCUCCUGCACACCAGGUGUGUGAGACUCUACUGUGCUGGACACCUCCCACACAUAACUGUGAGUCCUUGGAGUUUGCUUCCAUGUGGAACACAAGGCAUAGUAAAGGAUAUAUAAUGCAGAUGUGCUAAACUGAAGCUUACACGUGUAUGAUUAAAACUUGGUGGAAUAGAAAGCCACCAGAGGAGUGCUCUGUCUCCAUAGUCUGCAGGCUUUGUUUAGAACUGCCAAGGGCAGGGUGAUAACAGCAAGCUAUAACAGCUUGUCCCUGUAUGGUCCAUGUCUAGGCCACAUGCUUGCCCAUCUGCCCACACCUAGGCUCUGAAGACUGCCCUUAUGACGUCACCAUCAAAGACCAAUUAUUCUCUGAUUACCAUAUCACAUCAUUUGACCUGUCAAUCAAUAUUACUUUA
Molecule: long non-coding RNA, 5182 nt
Organism: Mus musculus (house mouse)
Lineage: Eukaryota; Metazoa; Chordata; Mammalia; Rodentia; Muridae
Product: predicted gene, 36317
Exons: 2
Source: RefSeq, a predicted model, not a curated record